This 253-nucleotide ribosomal RNA is filed under the name uncultured Clostridium sp. Its description in RNAcentral is "partial 16S ribosomal RNA". It matches the Rfam family "Bacterial small subunit ribosomal RNA", at positions 524 to 776 of the family's 1533-position model. Lineage: Bacteria; Bacillati; Bacillota; Clostridia; Eubacteriales; Clostridiaceae. The record is from RNAcentral.
UACGUAGGUGGCAAGCGUUGUCCGGAUUUACUGGGCGUAAAGGGUGCGUAGGUGGAUAUUUAAGUCAGAUGUGAAACCCCCAGGCUCAACCUGGGAACUGCAUUUGAAACUGGAUAUCUGGAGUGCAGGAGAGGUAAGUGGAAUUCCUAGUGUAGCGGUGAAAUGCGUAGAGAUUAGGAAGAACACCAGUGGCGAAGGCGACUUACUGGACUGUAACUGACACUGAGGCACGAAAGCGUGGGUAGCAAACAGG